Long non-coding RNA from Silurus meridionalis, 1059 nucleotides. RefSeq lists it as uncharacterized. The record is from RefSeq and is a predicted model, not a curated record. NCBI's taxonomy places the organism in Eukaryota, Metazoa, Chordata, Actinopteri, Siluriformes, Siluridae. The transcript has 3 exons.
GCGUCUUAACCACUAGACCACCAGGAGACCUAAAUGCUGCAAAUGUAAAUGGUCAAUAUUUUACUUGUGAUUGACAAAACUGGCACUUAUUUAUAGACACUUUGAACUUCAGCCGAUACAACAAAUUCAGUAGCCUCUCCUCAUGCUCUUUUAGUGUACAGCCAAAGGCAAUGGGGGUCAUCAAAAUAAGCAAUGUCCUGGAGAAGAUUCAUAUUUCCCACAGCUCUCUCCAUUAACUGCUGAAAUGUAGCUGAGGCUCCAGUAAUCAUGUAUGAUGUCCAAAACAGAGAGCCAAGGCUUCCAUUCAUGGAGUGGUGUAUUGAUAAGGAAUUGUUCUGGAAUUCCAUGUCUGGUAGCCUAUGCACAUGCUAAUAGCGCUGUUCUUCUUUCAGGCAAUAAUUACUGGUGAGGCGUAAUGGCUCCUGGGUUCGGUUAUGAUGCCUGCAGCGAACAGGUCGUGGGUUGCCACGGUGGAUCAUCCGUCUCCAUAUUCCUCUGUCCUCUACAUCUGUGUCUUUCAAACCAACAACCUGCAUGUCUUUUCCUCUUUCCUGGUGGCUUUUACCACUUUAUCUAACUCACUCCAGAACAUUUCCUUCUCCUCCACCUCACAACCCACUUGUGUAGCAUAGGCACUGAUAACAUUAUCAUCUUUACGUUAAUCACCCUAGAAAACAAUUUUUACCUCCACUACACUCUUACUUCGCCCCUACAUUUCUCUUUCCAUCCACACCAUCAUAAAAUAGUUUAAACACCCCUUCAAUGUUCCUGGGCUUACUCGCUUUCCACUUGGUCUCCUGAACACACAACAUAUCUACCUUUCUCCUUUCCAUCAUAUUAGCUAAAGUUCUCCCUUUCCCAGUCAUAGUACAAACCCUAACCUCCACUCUCCUCUACUUCUCCUUUCCAUGCUGUCUCUGUAGAUGCCUUCCUCCUCUCCUUCUGACAACAGUAGCCCAAUUUCCAGCCCAGUUACCCUAUUGGCUAACAAUACCUGUGGCGGUCAUUCAUUACCCGGGCUUCAACCUAUCCGACACACUGAGGUUUAGCCAGCUCCAG